UUGAAUACUCUUGAUGGGUUGUAGCUGGCUCUUUGGAGCAUGUGCACGCCUGUCUUGACCUUAUUCAUCCACCUGUGCACUUUUUGUAGUCUUGGGGUUGAGUGCAGUCAACUGUCGGACGGCCAUUAUGGUCUAUCCGGAUGUGAGGAAUGCUGAGUGCGAAAGCAUGCAGCUCUCUUCAAAAUGACUUGCAGAACCUCUCCCUCAAGUACUAUGUAUUUCAUAUACCUAGUAUGUUGUAGAAUGUGAUCAAUGGGCCUUGUGCCUAUAAUAAUCAUAUA
This 281-nucleotide unclassified non-coding RNA is filed under the name soil metagenome. RNAcentral's name for it is "partial internal transcribed spacer 1". The record is from RNAcentral.